RNAcentral lists this ribosomal RNA (460 nucleotides) under uncultured bacterium. RNAcentral describes it as "partial 16S ribosomal RNA". It matches the Rfam family "Bacterial small subunit ribosomal RNA", at positions 338 to 795 of the family's 1533-position model. The record is from RNAcentral.
CCUACGGGAGGCAGCAGUGAGGAAUAUUGGUCAAUGGCCGGAAGGCUGAACCAGCCAUGCCGCGUGAAGGUCAGUGCCCUAUGGGCGUUAAACUUCUUUUGUGCGGGAGCAAUAAUGGUCACGUGUGGCCAGACGAGAGUACCGUACGAAUAAGCAUCGGCUAACUCCGUGCCAGCAGCCGCGGUAAUACGGGGGAUGCAAGCGUUAUCCGGAUUUAUUGGGUUUUAAGGGUGCGUAGGCUGUGAGGUAAGUCAGCGGUGAAAUGCCCCCGCUCAACGGGGUGAAGUGCCAUUGAUACUGCCUGGCUGGAAUGCGGAUGCGGUGGGAGGAAUGUGUGGUGUAGCGGUGAAAUGCAUAGAUAUCACACAGAACACCGAUUGCGAAGGCAUCUCACGAAUCCGCGAUUGACGCUGAUGCACGAAAGCGUGGGUAUCAAACAGGAUUAGAUACCCCUGUAGUC